Molecule: long non-coding RNA, 641 nt
Organism: Tachyglossus aculeatus (Australian echidna)
Lineage: Eukaryota; Metazoa; Chordata; Mammalia; Monotremata; Tachyglossidae
Exons: 4
Source: RefSeq, a predicted model, not a curated record
CAGCCUGGGAUUUCAAGCUGGACACCCGGGAGGACCGAGGGGCCGCUUGGCCCGCAGCCCCCUAAACGGGACUGAUGCGGCAUGGGAAAAACACUUCUGAGGACCCACUCCAGCGUGUCAGAAAACGACAGAGAUGUACAAAUAUUCUUAACGAGUUUUAGCAGCUUUUCAAGGUUUGGACCACAUUUCAGGCUGGGCAAGGUGUCGGACGGCACCUUGGCCCAAGUCAAGCUCCGGGAUGGCUGAAACUCCUCGGCAAAGAUGCUUCGUACCGAACCACGGGCCGGCGAGGAUUUUACGUUUCAAAAAUGCAUAAAAUGUCAGAGAGCAACAAACUGCUGUUUCCCCAGAGCCAGAGAUGGCCCCAAACAGGCUAGAUGUUCACCUAUGGCUGCAUUUCACCAUUGCAAGGUUCACCACUGGAGAACAAUCCCCCAAAUGGCAAAGAGAUUGAAUAAAUCACGCCUCACCCACGGCAAAGACAUUCCAACCAAAACCACAGGAAAAUAUCUGAAGGAAGAGGCCCAACUAGGAUAAGUAUUACAAUACUUUGAAUUGUUUGUACAUUAAGUUGCUAAUGUCAAAAAUUUAUGAGACCAUAAGGCGCUUGUACAAUGCUCUGCACACAGUAAGUGCUCAAU